CACCCCCACACUAUACACUCCCUCCACUCCACCCCUCCUUCCUUUGUGAUUGCAAUUGAGAUAGGUCCCUUCACCUUUAAAAAGAAAAAUAGAUGAGCGGUCUGCACCUGCAAGGCGGUGCUCUUGUUUUUAAUUCGUUGCAAACGAACAAGGGAGCUUAGUUUUUUAUGCUCCUUCGGGGAGCAUAUAGUUGCCAGUUUGUCCUUCCUUACUGCCUUACUUCCGUCACACUUUUGUUACAGUUUCUCAUAGCACCUUCAAUACUUUACCGAUCUCUUUCAUAUUUGGCAUGUAGGUACCUUGCAUGGACCUCUACCUUUUGAUGAGGUUUGAGGUCACUGGGGUCAAGGUCACCGAGGCUAAUAAUAGAUUUUUCCGUCACACUUUUGUUACACUUUCUCAUAGCACCUUCAAUACUUUACCGAUCUCUUUCAUAUUUGGCAUGUAGGUACCUUGCAUGGACCUCUACCUUUUGAUGAGGUUUGAGGUCACUGGGGUCAAAGUCACCGAGGCUAAUAAUAGAUUUUUCAGUCACACUUUUGUUACAGUUUCUCAUAGCACCUUCAAUACUUUACCGAUCUCUUUCAUAUUUGGCAUGUAGGUACUUUGCAUGGACCUCUACCUUUUGAUGAGGUUUGAGGUCACUGAGGUCAAGGUCACCGAGGCUAAUAGUAGAUUUUUGCGUCAUACUUUUUGCAGUUUCUCAUAGAACCUUCAAUACUUUUCCGAUCUCUUUCAUAUUUGGCAUGUAGGUACCUUGCAUGGACCUCUACCCUUUGAUGAGGUUUGAAGUCACUGGGGUCAAGGUCACGGUCACCGAGGCUAAUAAUAGAUUUUUCCGUCACACUUUUGAUACAGUUUCUCAUACCACCUUCAAUACUUUACCGAUCUCUUUCAUGUUUGUCAUUUAGGUACCUUGCAUGGAUCUCUACCUUUUGAUGAGGUUUGAGGUCACUGGGGUCAAGGUCACCGAGGCUAAUAAUAGAUUUUUCCGUCACACUUUUGUUACACUUUCUCAUAGCACCUUCAAUACUUUACCGAUCUCUUUCAUAUUUGGCACGUAGGUACCUUGCAUGGACCUCUACCUUUUGAUGAGGUCACUGGGGUCAAGGUCACCGAGGCUAAUAAUAGAUUUUUCCGUCACACUUUUGUUACAGUUUCUCAUAGCACCUUCAAUACUUUUCCGAUCUCUUUCAUAUUUGGCAGGUAGGUACCUUGCAUGGACCUCUACCUUUUGAUGAGGUUUGAGGUCACUGGGAUCAAGGUCAAGGUCACCGAGGCUAAUAAUAGAUUUUUCAGUCACACUUUUGAUACAGUUUCUCAUACCACCUUCAAUAGUUAACUGAUCUCUUUCAUGUUUGGCAUUUAGGUACCUUGCAUGGACCUCUACCUUUUGAUGAGGUUUGAGGUCACUAGGGUCGAGGUCACCGAGGCUAAUAAUAGAUUUUUACGUCACACUUUUGUUACAGUUUAUCAUAGCACCUUCAAUACUUUACCGAUCUCUUUCAUAUUUGGCACGUAGGUACCUUGCAUGGACCUCUCUACCUUUUGUUGAGGUUUGAGGUCACUGGGGUCAAGGUCACCGAUGCUAAUAAUAUAUUUUCCGUCACGCUUUUGUAACAGUUUCUCAUAGCACAUUCAAUACUUUACCGAUCUCUUUCAUAUUUGGCAUGUAGGUACUUUGCAUUGGCCUCUACCUUUUGAUGAGGUUUGAGGUCACUAGGGUCAAGGUCACCGAGGCUAAUAGUAGUUUUUUUCGUCAUACUUUUUUGCAGUUUCUCAUAGAACCUUCAAUACUUUUCCGAUCUCUUUCAUAUUUGGCAUGUAGGUACCUUGCAUGGACCUCUACCCUUUGAUGAGGUUUGAGGUCACUGGGGUCAAGGUCGAGGUCACCGAGGCUAAUAAUAGAUUUUUCCGUCACACUUUUGAUACAGUUUCUCAUACCACCUUCAAUACUUUACCGAUCUCUUUCAUGUUUGUCAUUUAGGUACCUUGCAUAGACCUCUACCUUUUGAUGAGGUUUGAGGUCACUGGGGUCAAGGUCACCGAGGCUAAUAAUAGAUUUUUCCGUCACACUUUUGUUACACUUUCUCAUAGCACCUUCAAUACUUUACCGAUCUCUUUCAUAUUUGGCACGUAGGUACCUUGCAUGGACCUCUACCUUUUGAUGAGGUUUGAGGUCACUGGGGUCAAGGUCACCGAUGCUCAUAAUAUAUUUUCCGUCACGCUUUUGUAACAGUUUCUCAUAGCACAUUCAAUACUUUACCGAUCUCUUUCAUAUUUGGCAGGUAGGUACCUUGCAUUGGCCUCUACCUUUUGAUAAGUUUUGAGGUCACUGGGGUCAAGGUCAAGGUCACCGAGGCUAAUCAAAUAUUUUUUAUGUGGUUAUAAACACAUAGAUUGACAAAGCGCUUCAUCGGGGAGCAUCCAUCAGUUUCACUGAUAUUCUUGUUUUACUUGGUUGUUAACAGUAACCAGCCACUCAUACUUGUUUAUUCUAUUCAUCAUUAACAGUAACAAUGCGCAUAUACCUAAUUAUUGAUUUUAUUAUAAACAUUACCAAGUAGACGAAACUUAUUUAUUUACUUCACUGUUACUGAUGUAACUGUAACCACUCACUUGCAUUAAUUUAUUGUUUUCACAGUUAGAGUAAUCAGUGACACAUUUCUCCGUAGACAGUAACCAAUGACAAAUAAUAAAGUAACUUCUUCAUUGUUAACACUAACCAGUGACAUAAUAAAUUAUGCUUAUUUAUUUACUUCAUGGUUAAUAGUUACCAGUGGCAUAUGCUUCUAGUUAUUUACUUCAUUGUAAACACACGUAAUAGUUAGGAUGGCGAUCGUCCAUGCCGACACAGGUAUAUUUCGCCGUUUUAUAUCCUAUAUUACUUUUUGUUUCAUUUAUAAAUGACGCUCAGUUUCCAGCCAUAUCAGCGAGAAAGUGAUUAGCGUUUAUUUCGUAUUAACAUUCGCAUUUUAUCUCGACUUUCCUCUAUGCCAAUUUUCUUAGUGGAGCUGAAAUGAGGUCAUUCCGCUUCAAAAUGUUCGGCAAGUAAAGUCGAGAUAUAGAGCGAGUACUAAUACGAAACAAACGCUAGUAACUUUCAUUCUGACAUGGCUGGAAAGUGAGCGUCAUUAAUUUAAUACGAAAUAAAUAGAGGAUAUUUGUUGGAUUCGGUGGAUUAUCGAAUUUAAUUCACGAGUGAUCAUUGAAAAUAAUAUGUUCACGAGAAGCGCAGCCACGAGUGAAAAUAUAUAUUUUCUAUGAUCACGAGUGAAUUAAAAUCGAUAUUCCACCGAAUCCAACAAAAUUUCUUUUUAUUUUAUGCUUUUUUUCACAGUUUAUAUACAUUAUUAAAGAGUUUAACUAAAGAAUUCCGCCGGGAUAAUGACGUCAUUUCGUCAAAAAAAUGACGUCAUUUUACAGUAAACAGUGAAAAUUAUCGAUUAUUUUCACUGAUAAUUUUCACUGUUUAAAACUGUGAAAUUAUCAGUUUUAAUUUACUGAUAUUUCUCUAUAAACCACCGGAAAGCAUAAAAUAAACGCUAGUAACUUUCUCUCUGACAUGGCUGGAAAGUGAGCGUCAUUUUAAAAAGGCAAACAAUUAAUAAACGGUAUAAAACGUCGAUAAAUACUUGUCUCGGGAUUGACAUCGCCAGCUUGAAUAUCACGUGAUUACCCUUUCCGAAACAGUAACCAUUGACAUAUGUUGAGUUAUUUACUUCAUUGUCAACAGUAACCAAUGACAUAUGCGAAAUAUGUAAUUCAUUGUGAACAGUAACCACUAACACAUGUUAACUUAAUUGUAAACAGUCACCACUGGCACAUAUUUAGUCGUUUACUUCAGUGUAAACAUCGACCAAUGACAUAUUCUUUGUUAUUUACUAAAUUGUAAACAGUAACCACUGGCCCACACUUAAGUGUUUAGCGGUACUUCAUUAAAACAAGUUAUCACUGGCACAUACUUUGUUGUUUCAUUUAUAGUAAACAGUCACCACGAUCGCAUACUUAGUUGUUUCAUUUAUAGUAAACAGUCACCACGAUCACAUACUUAGUUGUUUCAUUCAUUGUAAACAGUCAUCACUUGCACAUAUAUAGUUGUUUACUUCAUUGUAAACAUCGACCAAUGACAUAUUCUUAGUUAUUUAAUUCAUUGUAAACAGUAACCACUGGCACAUACUUUAGUGUUUUGCGAUACUUCAUUAAAACAAGUUAUCACUGGCGCAUACUUGGUUGUUUAAUUUAUAGUAAACAGUUCUACGAUCACAUACUUAGUUGUUUACUUCAUUGUAAACAGUCACCACUAUCACAUAAUUAGCUGUUUACUUCAUUGUAAAUAGUAAUCACUGGCAAAUACUAAGUAUGGUAAUUUAUUUCACUGUUAAAAGUAACCAGUGGUCCAUAUUAAGGCAUAAGAGUUAGUGUAAACAGUAACAAACCAAAACGAAAGAGCAUAAUAUAUUUAAUACAGAAAGCUUAAAUUUAAUCAAUAUCAAACUUAAGAAAAUACAACAGUUCAGUGAUGUUUUAUAUAACACAAAACGUAGCACAAAUGAAGACAAAUUUAAACCAUAAUGAAAUCAAUUUCUUCCCUUUGGCAUUAUAUUACAAGAUGAGGUAGUAAAUGCCGUUUGAUCAGUAUUAUGGUUGAAAAUUGUAUUAAAAACACACCUUUUACUCCAAAUAACAAACCAAAAAUAUGCAAAUACCAUACUGAAUGUGUAGGCCUUUUGUCAACAUUCUACUAGAACUCUAAAAAAGCAAGCCAAAUGUAUAACACCCUGAUCAAAUGUCAUAAAUAUAAAAAAUAUAUAUGGAUAUAAAUGUUAAGUAAUUGUGAUUUUAGGUCAAUUAGUUUAUGUUUGAAUGGUGAACAUAACCCAAAAUAUAUGUUGCUUGCUUGUGUUGCUAAUAUACUUCAUUAAAUCACUAACCAGCAAAGGGACUUUGGAGUAAACAAAUAAUAUCAUUAUGAAUGGGGCAUCAUAGGCUUGCACUUGUUGAGCUACAAAACUUUUUCCAACCAGAUUUGCACUGCACUUGUAAGGUUUCUGUUUUUCAACAUGCUUAUUAAUGGGUGGUUUAACCUUUCAGCUGCACCAUUAUCCAUUAUAUUUUAUAGAAUAUAGUCUAACAUUUCUUAAUGCCUGUACAUUUACAGAGCUCAGUUAUGGUUUUUCCAACGAAAUUCCUUUUUUGAUCACUAAGGGGUUGUUUUGAUGAAGAAAGUAAUAAAAUGCUCUGGCAGUUGUUUUUGGGCAUAAUAAGUGAAAUGGACCACUAUAACUUACUUAUCCAAAUAGGAAUCCUUGGAAUUUUCUAGUGAUAAAAAAGUCAAUACUGACCAACUCCAAAGGUCUUUUAGUAGAUAUUGGUACCAACUCUGCUUCUGGCUUAACAGGUGUUUUGACAGAUAAAUAACAAUCAUCAUUUUCCAUAAUUUCGGCCACAUCAUUUCAAACCAGGCCAAUCAGAACCUACUUCUUGCAAGCCAAAGAUGGAUGUCAUUGCCCGGAUGCCCUACAACGCUGUUUAUGUCACUAAAGCAACAUCGUGAUUAAGUAUGGGGGUAACAAGCUGAUUUGCUUUUUGAUUAUCAAGAACAAGAGCUUGAUACAGAAAUACAAGUUCUAAUUAUACAAAGUCAGAGGUACUAUAUGAUUCAAACUAGAUCUUAUAGCAGUCUCAAUUGUCACACACACACACACAUGCUCAAUGCAAUAU
Dreissena polymorpha is the source of this 5724-nucleotide long non-coding RNA. RefSeq lists it as uncharacterized. The transcript is spliced from 2 exons. The record is from RefSeq and is a predicted model, not a curated record. Lineage: Eukaryota; Metazoa; Mollusca; Bivalvia; Myida; Dreissenidae.